This 75-nucleotide transfer RNA is filed under the name Syntrophothermus lipocalidus. RNAcentral describes it as "tRNA-Glu". It matches the Rfam family "tRNA". Rfam says of the family: Transfer RNA (tRNA) molecules are approximately 80 nucleotides in length. RNAcentral also lists the same sequence under 3 other names. Lineage: Bacteria; Bacillati; Bacillota; Clostridia; Eubacteriales; Syntrophomonadaceae. The record is from RNAcentral.
GGCCCCAUGGUCAAGUGGUUAAGACACCGCCCUUUCAAGGCGGUAACAGGGGUUCGAAUCCCCUUGGGGUCACCA